Acanthosepion pharaonis is the source of this 110-nucleotide non-coding RNA. NCBI's taxonomy places the organism in Eukaryota, Metazoa, Mollusca, Cephalopoda, Sepiida, Sepiidae. The record is from the annotation of a GenBank genome assembly.
GGCCGCAUCACGUUGAAACGUAGGUUCCCGUACGAUCACCGAAGUUAAGCAACGUCGAGUCUAUUCAGUACUUAGAUGAGUGAUUGCUUGGGAAGGCUAGGUGCUGUAAG